UAGGAGGAGAUUUAUCUGGAUAA
This 23-nucleotide microRNA is filed under the name Bombyx mori (domestic silkworm). RNAcentral describes it as "bmo-miR-3393". Lineage: Eukaryota; Metazoa; Arthropoda; Insecta; Lepidoptera; Bombycidae. The record is from miRBase by way of RNAcentral.